Molecule: ribosomal RNA, 253 nt
Filed under: uncultured bacterium
Lineage: Bacteria
Description: partial 16S ribosomal RNA
Rfam family: Bacterial small subunit ribosomal RNA
Source: RNAcentral
UACGUAGGGACCAAGCGUUGUUCGGAAUUACUGGGCGUAAAGGGCUCGUAGGUGGCCAACUAAGUCGGACGUGAAAUCCCUCAGCUUAACUGGGGAACUGCGUCCGAUACUGGAUGGCUUGAGUUUGGGAGAGGGAUGCGGAAUUCCAGGUGUAGCGGUGAAAUGCGUAGAUAUCUGGAGGAACACCGGUGGCGAAGGCGGCAUCCUGGACCAACACCGACACUGAGGAGCGAAAGCCAGGGGAGCAAACGAG